Populus trichocarpa (black cottonwood) is the source of this 849-nucleotide long non-coding RNA. RefSeq lists it as uncharacterized. Lineage: Eukaryota; Viridiplantae; Streptophyta; Magnoliopsida; Malpighiales; Salicaceae. The record is from RefSeq and is a predicted model, not a curated record. The transcript has 2 exons.
AACAAACAAAAACCCUCGCAAACAAAACGCCAAAAACACUUGAACCUUACCUCUCUCCCACUAAAAAAACAUUGACCCCUCCACGACCCUCUCUUUUUCAGAAAACAACAAAACUUCUUGGCUGGUGGUGUAGAGAAGCAGGGAACUCCUCAGCCAUGGCAGUCGCCAUGCUAACAACACCAACAAGGCAACAACCUUCAGCUUUCUAUUUUCAACCGAGAGCAUUCUUGGAGGAUUUUCCAACAGCCUUUAAUGUCGUCAACAGCAGUAACCCUGGACAACAACCUUUUCUUCUCAGUCCAGCACUGUGAUCUCAGUCCAGCAGUGUCUCAGAACAGCUUCUCCUUCUCCACCAUCUUCAUCUUCUCUUGCUCAAGCAGCAUCAGCAGUAACUCUUCCUCCACAACACCAUGAGCAGUAGCUUUCAAUCCAGCACCACCAGCAAUAACAACGUCCAGCAAGAUACUUCCAGCUCAACAGACCCAAGGUUCCAGCAGAGCAAUAACACCAGCAGGAUUUCAGCGUUUCAUCUUCCUCUUAGUCCAGUAGCCCAUCUCUCCAGAUCCAGCAGUGCAGUCGUGAGCCUCUAACAACAUCUUCAGCACAGUAUCUGGAUUACAAGUAUCCCCACUGUGCUAAUGUUCAAGAAUGGAGAGAAGAAAGGAGGUGUUACAGGUGCAGUUCCAAAGGCUACCUUCGCUGCUGCCAUUGAAAAAUACAUUGAAGCUUGAAGAGAGAAGAGCAGCAACACAUGUCCUUUAGAAAUCUUUAGUUACAAUUGCCAUUGCCUUGUAUGCCAUGACAAUGUUAUCCCGAGUUUUUAUAUCAUGAGGUGUAGUUUGAUAAUUA